GUGGGGAAUAUUGGGCAAUGGGCGAAAGCCUGACCCAGCAACGCCGCGUGAAGGAAGAAGGUCUUCGGAUCGUAAACUUCUAUCCUUGGUGAAGAUAAUGACGGUAGCCGAGAAGGAAGCCCCGGCUAACUACGUGCCAGCAGCCGCGGUAAUACGUAGGGGGCAAGCGUUGUCCGGAAUGAUUGGGCGUAAAGGGCGCGUAGGCGGCCUGGUAAGGCUGGAGUGAAAGUCCUGCUUUUAAGGUGGGAAUUGCUUUGGAUACUGUCGGGCUUGAGUGCAGGAGAGAUAAGUGGAAUUCCCGGUGGAGCGGUGAAAUGCGUAGAGAUCGGGAGGAACACCAGUGGCGAAGGCGACUUACUGGACUGUAACUGACGCUGAGGCGCGAAAGUGUGGGGAGCAAACAGGAUUAGAAACCCGUUAGUCC
RNAcentral lists this ribosomal RNA (424 nucleotides) under uncultured bacterium. RNAcentral describes it as "partial 16S ribosomal RNA". It matches the Rfam family "Bacterial small subunit ribosomal RNA", at positions 354 to 796 of the family's 1533-position model. The record is from RNAcentral.